GGCUGUAGCCGUGCUGGACUGAAUGCACCCAGAAAAAUCUAAUCUUGAAAGCUAAGCAAUCCCAGGCCUAGGUGGUACUUGGAGGACAGACCAUCUUUGAAUCCCAAGUGCUAUAGGCA
RNAcentral lists this ribosomal RNA (119 nucleotides) under Fulmarus glacialis (Northern fulmar). Lineage: Eukaryota; Metazoa; Chordata; Aves; Procellariiformes; Procellariidae. The record is from RNAcentral.